Molecule: long non-coding RNA, 3510 nt
Organism: Triticum aestivum (bread wheat)
Lineage: Eukaryota; Viridiplantae; Streptophyta; Magnoliopsida; Poales; Poaceae
Exons: 5
Source: RefSeq, a predicted model, not a curated record
CAUCCCUCCUGCGAAAAAACCGGUGGCAAAAAAACCCACUCCUAUCGAUCCCCUAGAGACACAGCGCUCCUCUCGCGAACAAGGCCCCGAUCCGCUCUUCCUCCUCUCCCGAGGAUACGCAGCCGCCGCCGCCGAUCUGCCGAUCCGGGCAUCACAGCCGCCGCCGAUCUGCCGAUCCGGGCAUCACAGCCGCCGCCGAUCUGCCUAUCCGGGCAGACGCGGCCUUCACGGAUCACGAGAACGCCGGCGCCGCCGGCUCCUCGGAUGCGUCGCCCCCGGCGCCUCGGAUGCGUCGCCCGUCACCACCACGAUGGCACCUCGCUGAUGCCGCUCGGCAUGGAUUGCCGCCCUGAAGGGGGGCAGGGGGGCGGCCACCGCGGGCCCCCAAACUCUAGGGGCCACAUCCCAGAUCGUGGUCCUUCCCUCCCUACGAUGCAAGUCACGCCCUACGCGGCGGCCGCCAGGAAACAAAUGCGCGAGGCCGCAAGCGGAUCCAGCGGGUUGCGACAUUCAGACGGCCUACCGGGAACAUGAUGGUUGGCUUGUUGCUUCUGAUCUGAUUGCUCCAGGACUCCUUUUGUUUUUCUGCCACAAAGCUCCUUCCACCUAUGAUAUGUGUAUCAAGCAGUCGAUCACAACAGUUCACCAAUCAGCCCUAUUUGCUUCACCGGCCGGAUCUCCUAGCACUGCCUGAUAUUAUAUCAUCUGGAAAGUAUCGAUUUGGUAAUGAGCAAGAAAAAGGAAAAUAGGCUUAUGGAUGAAUUAAUAUAAUUACAGAGAGGAACUAUGGAUAAAUUUUAUCAAGAGUAAUAGGGGCACUUCGACGAGUUGGCAGUAAUUCCCGUGGACGAACCAACUACUGAUGUUAAGAAUCAAGUAAGUGUUUAUGAUUCUAUUUGUUAUUUGAAUCAACAUUAAGAAGUUUUGUAGAAAUUAUUUUAGUGCAUUGAAUAUUACGUCAUAAAUUGAUGUGUAUUAUAAUACUACAUACAUACAUUUUUUGAUCGGUUACUACAUACAUACAUAUACCGGGUGGGAGGUCACUUAGCAAUCUCAACCUUUGAUAUUGAUAUAUGCAAACAUAUAUAUGAGGGGCGAUGAGGGGCCCCAUAUUAGUUUUCGCGCCGGGCCCCCGAAAUCUCAGGACCGGCCCUGCAGGGCGGCCAGACCAGGUGGCAAAUGUGGUGCAUGAGUCAACCUCACAACGUACUAUGGUGUCUAGGAUGGGCGUGGUGUAACAUGACGCUUUCUAGAAGCAUGUUAUCGAACAUCUCCACAGAAUCCCGAGCUUGCCUAAUUCCCAAAGCAUGUUAUCAUAUUACGGAGGACAACUCUCUGAAUUCCCAAAGCACUAAUCUUGUCCUAAUUGCUCAUAUAUUGAAUCACUUUUCGCUGCAAAUAUGUUUUCUAUGCGUUCCUUCUUACAACCAGGACAUUUACUUCCCAAAGAGUUGGUCAACUAAAAAGGACAAGGUGUUUGAGACUGCUCUUAUCUGCUCUGAAGUUUCCCCUUAAACACAACUUUUCAGGUCUGUUAUUCUUGGUCAUAUAUUUUGGAGUUUUUGCAACUCAGUGUGAAAGAGUUGGGUAACCAACUCAAAAUGCGGUGGAUAGAACUCAAAAUGAGGUGGACAGUGAUCAAUGUGCAGUCCAUUGAGUAUUAGUUUCAUGAGCACUUCAUAUUGUUAAUUGUGCUUCUGUCUAUUAAUCAAGAGUGUAUUACUAAAACUAUAGAUUGGUUGUCGUUGAUGCGCCUAUUGUACUGUAAUUAUUUAGUUCCUUCACUUCUAAGAUGAUCUCAGGUUUAGUAGUGAUAUAAAAAAGCUAUACAUUUCUAUGUUUUUCCUCUGCUAUUGUGUUAUUUCAUCAUUUUCUGUUCCUUACGGUCUGCCACUCUUUGACUCCCUUUUUGUGCUCAAAUAUUUUUCAAUGUUCCUUGCAGGAUCCAUAUGAGCUUGGUUACGCACUAAAUUAUUCUGGAGGAUCUCAGGUAAUCGUUGCAGUUGAAGAUUACGCCCCUGGUCAUGAUUCUCAUUUUCAAACUUGCCAUUCAUCAUAGGUUUUGUAUGGAGUGUAUUCAUGCAUUAUAUUGGAGCAGGGACCUGCCGAGGAGGGGGAUACCAUGGGGAGGCGAACCUGGUAAAGUAGGGGUGGAAAGUAGACUAUAGUUAUGUUAUCCGUGGCAAGGACUUGGUGGAUUGUUUACCAUUUAGUUGUGUUCAACACUGAAAAAUGGUAAUAUCAUUUUUUUGUCCUUUGCAAAUUAAAUUAUUAAUCCAUAACAUUAUUUUUAUAUAUGGGCUUCUAUUAGCGCAACUGGAUUGAUGCAGCGGAGAAUUACCUUCAAAAUGAUUAAACGAAUGCGAAGAUUGGCCUUCUUGAAUUUUGACCACGUCUAAUAACACUUCUGAAUUAUGUCUAAUCUCCAUGUAGUUUGGUCCGGUUAUUUCAUCAACUAGCCCACUACUAUGUGCUGGAAGUUAUAUUGUUACUUAAUACAGGCUACACAUUCUAAACAUCUUUUUGACUGUGUUGUCAGAUUGAUUUAUCCAAUGGAACCUCACAUUAAUAAUAAAUUCCUUACAAUAACAAUGUGCUUUAUUUGAAAAUGGUUGAAUAUAAUUACCAAAGUUUGAUGGACGUUCAUAUGGAGAGCGCAAAUGCAAAUGUUCAUAUUGUAUUGACGAUGCUCCCUUUUGAAAUUAACAUGCUUUGUCAAUUUAUUUUCGACAUGAUGUAUUAUCUUAUUACUUUUUAGCCUAUAGGUUUUAUAUGAGUGAAAAUUAAAUAUGACAGUUCUCAGUCUGGUCUUGCCAACCCCUCCAUGUCAACCAGGUAUGCAAUGCAUUAUAUAAGAUUAUUUUUGUUGUUUUUCCUUCUUGUUAGUAUUUUUAAUUAUGGUUAUUACUCUUUGAAAUAAUCAACAGUUUAAUCUCUACUAUUAAAGGGGAGUAAGCAGGUCGUUUUUUCGGGGAGGGUGAGGCACAACCUUGUGAAGGAGUGGAGAAGACAGUGUGCUCUGGUCCUCCUCCAAGCCCGCCAGCGACUUAUCAUUUGUUGCUCUUCCCUUACAAGAUCCUUGAGGUCAGGUGUGAUAACUAGCGACACGUGGUGGAGCUUCUGCGGUAGGGCAUCGCCGACGGCAACAUCACCUGCAUCAAACCCUCCCUGGUCGCCUUCGAGAGUGUGUGCACCCGACCUACAAGCUUGUUAUGAUGCCCUUUGAAUUUCCGAGCAAGUUGCAACCUUUCCAGAUUUAUCAACACUGGUCACAUUAGUAGUCAAUAUGGUUCAGAUGCAUAAUAGUACGUACUUCGUUUCCUUUUCGUUGCAUACAUGGCAUCUUGUGAGGAAGUGUUCCUUAUAUUAUGUAACUAGGGAUAAAUAUGACGAAGCCAACAGUAAAGGAGCUCAUGUAAAAAAACUGAAGUUUAAAGGAAAUUGUUAUAAUAUAUAUAUCAAUUCCGACAUUGGUAUCUAAAGGAUGGGUCAAGGAAUAUUUGUCCCUGA